GACGAACGCUGGCGGCGUGCUUAACACAUGCAAGUCGAACGGAAAGGCCCUGCUUUUGUGGGGUGCUCGAGUGGCGAACGGGUGAGUAACACGUGAGUAACCUGCCCUUGACUUUGGGAUAACUUCAGGAAACUGGGGCUAAUACCGGAUAGGAGCUCCUGCUGCAUGGUGGGGGUUGGAAAGUUUCGGCGGUUGGGGAUGGACUCGCGGCUUAUCAGCUUGUUGGUGGGGUAGUGGCUUACCAAGGCUUUGACGGGUAGCCGGCCUGAGAGGGUGACCGGCGACAUUGGGACUGAGAUACGGCCCAGACUCCUACGGGAGGCAGCAGUGGGGAAUAUUGCACAGUGGGGGGAAGCCUGAUGCAGAAACCCCGCGUGCGGGAUGACGGCCUUCGGGUUGAAAACCGCUUUCGCCUGUGACGAAGAGGGAGUGACGGUAAUGGGUAAAGAAGCACCGGCUAACUACGUG
Molecule: ribosomal RNA, 468 nt
Filed under: uncultured bacterium
Lineage: Bacteria
Description: partial 16S ribosomal RNA
Rfam family: Bacterial small subunit ribosomal RNA
Source: RNAcentral